AAGAAAUUAGCUCAGCUGGUAGAGCAUCCGUUAGAAACGGCGCGCAGGGGUUCGAGUCCCCUAUUUCGCA
Non-coding RNA from Hyaloscypha bicolor E, 70 nucleotides. The record is from the annotation of a RefSeq genome assembly. NCBI's taxonomy places the organism in Eukaryota, Fungi, Ascomycota, Leotiomycetes, Helotiales, Hyaloscyphaceae.